UUCUGCCUGCGGUAUUCGUGAACUUGUGUUGCUUUUGAACUACAGUUGACUCGGGAGACAAGCUAUGGGUGGUGUUCAAGCCGACUAGAUCGGAUUUGCUAAGCCCUUAAGUAAGUUGCCCACCUUGUUAUAGGUUCACAACAGUCAAACAAACACGGUAUUGUGGGUAGAUC
RNAcentral lists this non-coding RNA (173 nucleotides) under Candidatus Zophobacter franzmannii. Its description in RNAcentral is "6S RNA". It matches the Rfam family "6S / SsrS RNA". From Rfam's summary of the family: E. coli 6S RNA was the first non coding RNA to be sequenced, but its function was unknown until recently. It consists of 184 nucleotides that fold into an extended hairpin structure with a large single-stranded internal bulge. Lineage: Bacteria; Pseudomonadati; Candidatus Cloacimonadota; Cloacimonadia (SeqCode); Cloacimonadales (SeqCode). The record is from RNAcentral.